Molecule: small nucleolar RNA, 138 nt
Organism: Ornithorhynchus anatinus (platypus)
Lineage: Eukaryota; Metazoa; Chordata; Mammalia; Monotremata; Ornithorhynchidae
Source: RefSeq, a predicted model, not a curated record
CCCCUCUCAGGAUGGCACCUGGAGAGUUCCCAGUACUCUACCAGUCUCGGCUAUGGGAGGAAGAGUCAAGCAGAGGCAGACCCAUUCCAUUCCUAGCUUGGCUAGUGGCUAGAGAGGGGAAGGCAAUCUCUUACAAAU